Molecule: ribosomal RNA, 228 nt
Filed under: uncultured bacterium
Lineage: Bacteria
Description: partial 16S ribosomal RNA
Rfam family: Bacterial small subunit ribosomal RNA
Source: RNAcentral
CGCGCAGGCGGGUUGACAAGUCAGAGGUGAAAUCCUACAGCUUAACUGUAGAACUGCCUUUGAGACUGUCAAUCUUGAGUACGGAAGAGAGAGAUGGAAUUCCAGGUGUAGUGGUGAAAUACGUAGAUAUCUGGAAGAACACCAGUGGCGAAGGCGAUCUCUUGGUCCAUUACUGACGCUGAGGCGCGAAAGCGUGGGGAGCAAACAGGAUUAGAUACCCUGGUAGUC